RNAcentral lists this transfer RNA (71 nucleotides) under Trebouxia aggregata. Its description in RNAcentral is "tRNA-Gly". It matches the Rfam family "tRNA". From Rfam's summary of the family: Transfer RNA (tRNA) molecules are approximately 80 nucleotides in length. Their secondary structure includes four short double-helical elements and three loops (D, anti-codon, and T loops). RNAcentral also lists the same sequence under 4 other names. Lineage: Eukaryota; Viridiplantae; Chlorophyta; Trebouxiophyceae; Trebouxiales; Trebouxiaceae. The record is from RNAcentral.
GCGGAUAUGGACUAAUGGCAAAUUGUCUGCCUUCCAAGCAGAAGAUGAGGGUUCGAUUCCCUCUAUCCGCU